AAGGAGAGCGAGUGAGUGUGAAAGAGAGAGCGGGAGAGAGAGAGAGAGCAGCCCGCCGGCCCAUUGAGGAAAGAUGGCUACAGUCACUGCAAACGGAGUGCAGCAAGAGAAUGGAUUCAGCACCACGAACAGCGCCGGCAGGAUGAACGGGCUUACCAUCGGCCAGAACACCAUUCCAAUGAAGGACCACGACGCCAUCAAGCUUUUCAUCGGGCAGAUUCCCAGAAACUUGGAGGAAAAAGACCUGAAACCCCUGUUUGAGGAAUUCGGAAAGAUAUACGAACUCACUGUACUGAAAGACAGGUUUACGGGAAUGCAUAAAGGAUGUGCCUUUCUAACAUACUGUGCCAGAGAGUCAGCACUGAAGGCCCAGAGCGCCCUCCAUGAACAGAAGACUCUGCCAGGGAUGAACCGGCCCAUCCAGGUGAAGCCAGCUGACAGCGAAGGACGAGGAGAAGACAGGAAGCUGUUUGUGGGAAUGCUCGGCAAGCAGCAGAGUGAGGAUGACGUCCGGCGGCUGUUUGAGACCUUCGGCCAGAUCGAGGAGUGCACCGUCCUGCGAGGGCCUGAUGGGGCCAGUAAGGGCUGUGCCUUUGUCAAGUUCUCCAGCCACGCAGAAGCGCAGGCUGCCAUCAACAGUUUGCACGGCGGACAGACUAUGCCUGGUGCCUCAUCAAGUCUGGUGGUCAAGUUUGCAGAUACCGAUAAAGAGAGGACCCUACGCAGGAUGCACCAGAUGGCGGGCCAGCUCGGCAUCUUCAGUCCCAUGACCAUCCAGUUUGGGGCCUAUGGCGCCUACUCUCAUGCUGUAAGUCUCAGCCCGGCGGGGGAGGAGACGCAGAUGAUGCAACAGCAAGCAGCCCUGAUGGCAGCGACACAAGGGUCCUACCUGAACCCCAUGGCAGCCAUCGCUGCCGCACAAAUGCAGCAAAUGGCAGCUUUCAAUGUCAACGGCCUGGUAGCUACUCCCAUGACUCCAUCCUCAGGCACCAGCACACCCCCAGGUAUCUCUGCCACAGCCGUGCCCAGCAUAGCCACCCCAAUCGGGGUCAAUGGAUUCAGUGCCCUCCCGCCUCAAAGCAACGGGCAGCCCACCUCUGAGCCCAUCUAUACCAAUGGUAUUCAUCCUUACCCAGCACAGAGUCCAACGGUGACUGACCCUCUCCCACAAGCUUAUGCUGGCAUCCAACAUUACGCAGCAGCCUACCCUGCCGCCUAUGCGCCAAUCAGCCAAGCGUUCCCCCAGCAACCAACCAUCAUUCCCCAGCAACAGAGAGAAGGGCCAGAAGGUUGCAACCUGUUUAUUUAUCACCUGCCCCAGGAGUUCGGAGAUGCGGAGCUCAUGCAAAUGUUCCUGCCUUUUGGGAACGUCAUCUCCGCCAAAGUCUUUGUGGACCGAGCGACCAAUCAAAGCAAAUGUUUCGGCUUUGUGAGUUUUGAUAACCCGUCCAGUGCUCAAGCCGCUAUCCAGGCCAUGAACGGCUUUCAGAUAGGCAUGAAGAGGCUGAAGGUACAGCUAAAGCGGCCAAAGGAUGCCAACCGACCUUACUGACUCGUCUGCUGUCCAUAUCCAGUGUGAGGUGGCCUUUCUCCGCUAUAGACACAUCCCCCCACUCACCUGUCAUGGGGCCAAGUUCCCACAGCUGAUGAAGGGCCACAACACCUUAUUUCCACAAGUGCAGUAAAAGUACAAAGACUUCUUGCUCUGCUACAUAUCAUGAAGGAAGGGUGGUCCCUUGAUCCUGCUGGAAACCCGCUGAAAGAUUGGGUGACUGAGAGAAGCAUCCCAGAGUUGUUGUUGUUGUUGUUUUUUAAGUUCAGUUUUUUGUUUUUCUUCGCAAAUGCCUCUUUUCCCUGUUUUGCUUUGGCGUCAGUGGGAGAAGAUUUUUUGCAGAGACCAACUUUUUGCUGCUGUUUUUUAGACAUCAUGGGGAAAAAAAAACCUUUAUAGACUCAUUAUGCUCAAAGCAUGCAUACUGACAUGGGAUAUAAAUAAACCCACUUAAACGCAGAUAACAAACCAAACAUACACAUCUAGAGAUGCUACAGAUAAAACAAUGAAAAAAGAAAAAAAAAGAUAAUCUACUUUGUACAUGUAUAGAUACGUGCAAAUGCCAACUCAAGUACCGCAUCAGACACAUGUGUGCACACACCUACACUCACACCUACACACACACACACCAGCCUGCUGCCAAUUUUGGUUUUUGUGCCUCCACAGGUGUUGUGCUCUGUGACAGGGCAAGCUCUGGAUUGAAGAAAACAAGAAGAAGAGGAGAAUCCAGGAUAAUUUACAUGCAUCAUUCCUUAGGAAAUAGGGACCAAAGGACUAAACGCUUUUUAAAAGAAUAUAAAUAUAUAAAUAUAUAUUUAAAAACUCAUACCUUGUAGCUGCAAGUAUUACAAUUUACUCGUAGUCAAAAAAUCAUUAAAUCAAUAUCCAGUGGCCUACUGCAAGAACGAAUAAAAGAAAACGGAAAUAAUGUACCUAUAAAAAAGACAUGGAAUCGUAGUGUAGGGGCUGGUUGUUUGCUCUGGAUGCUGAUUUAGCACCGGGUUGUAGAAUAUUACAGUAGACUAGAAGAAAAUGUAGAUUUGCUAACUUUUGCUGUUGUUUAAAAAAAAAAAAAAAAUACUUGAAGUCUUAAUGAAAAGGGAGCAAACGGAGGGAGAAAAAGGAAACAUUCAUCUGCCCCUGUAAGCAACAAAUCUCGUUCUCUUGGAUGCUAUGGUAUCAGCCACUGGAUAUCUCGGCCAUCAUGAUGUACAAGUCACCACAUUCUCUGACAGCUAUGAACAGACUGCUUCAGAAGGGGAAAGAUGAAUGAUAAGAGGGAAAGAAAGAAGAAUGAACUUACUAAUGUCUGUGCUGGACAGGAGUCAGACGUUUAAGGCUUCUCACUAGCCUUGUGUUCAAGCGACAAUCCACUGUAAAGACCAAGCAAAAUGGACAUGGGGUGUCUUCUGUUGUUUUAUUUAUUUAUUUUUUUUCUUGAUCUUUUGUAUUGCAACAUGAAGUGUGAAUUAUAAAGCAUCACAAUGUUAAAAGGCAAAGGAUGAAUGGACAAAUGGAUGGUUAUGAGGGCAAAAGAAAGGGAGGAGGAGUAAGGUGACAGCUACUGAAAACUGCCAGCAGAAUGAACUCUGUACAAAUGAUUUGGCACUUAGGAGGCUGGAAUCCCUCAAGAAAAAAACAA
Molecule: RNA transcript, 3194 nt
Organism: Monopterus albus (swamp eel)
Lineage: Eukaryota; Metazoa; Chordata; Actinopteri; Synbranchiformes; Synbranchidae
Gene: celf6
Gene name: CUGBP Elav-like family member 6
Exons: 14
Source: RefSeq, a predicted model, not a curated record